CUAAUUAAUUUGUUAGUUGUGACAGCUACAUAUACAGGCAUGCAGAUGCAGGUCUAUUGUUAGCCUGCAGGUCAUACUCAGACGCGGUCCCUCAACGAGCCGAUGAAGCCUACGGACCGUUAUGAGCAAGCUGAAUCCAUCGGCAGGAACGCUGCACUUCCACACCUCAGCUGAAACUGAAAUAUCAGUUGCUACACGUUCUGAAUUCUGAUCACCAUGACCCCCUCCUUGCCCUCGCUGUUGCUCCUCCUCCUGCUGGCCUUGUGGCCGGCACCCUACCUCGCAGCGCGCGCCGGCACCGGCGCCAGCGACCACGGUUUCACGCACAUCCACCUGUACAUGCACGAGACCUUCGCCGGCCCGAACGCCACGACGCUCACGGCGGUGCCGUCGCCGCUGGGCGCCGACGCGACGUUCGGGGCGAUCGGCGUGCUCGACGACGAGCUGCGCGACGGGCCGGACGCGAGGAACUCGUCGCUCGUCGGCCGGUACCAGGGCCUCUUCCUCAACGCGGGGCUCGUGAGCCCGCCGGGUGCGCAAUCGGCGAUCAACCUCGUCUUCACGGCCGGCGAGCGCCGCGGGAGCACGCUGGCCAUGCUGGGCCCCGUGCUGAGCUUCACGAGCGCCAUCGAGCGCGCCGUGGUGGGCGGCACCGGCGCCUUCAGGAUGGCGCGCGGGUACUGCGUCAUGACGCGCGCCGGCAGCCCCACGCCGGAGUCCCUCGUCUACGAGGUCGACCUGUUCCUGGACAUGUACCAUGCCUGAUCGAUGGUUGUGCCUGUUGGUUUGUGUGCGCACGGUGCUAUCGUUCAAAAUCGGACCAAUGGGUGAGCGGCACGUGCUUUAAUGGGGAUACAGCCAGGACCAUAUGAUUCUAAUUGGCGCGGGGGCAUGGAGAGAUCGAGUUUGCGACCACUUCCAUUCCGUCCUACUAGAUCGGAAACGCGCCUUGGCGCGAGGGUACCGGUCACAACAAUGUGUCCAAACAAAUAUUGCUCAAUUUAAUAGGAAGUCGGGUUUAGCGACGUAUUCAAACAUGAUACAACAAACUAAAAGGAAGAGGAAACAUUCACAUGUAAUAGGAGGAAAACAUCAUUGAGAUUGACAUCGGCAUGAGAAAUAAGGCAGCAUUCAAUUUAGUAUGUUCAUGAGACCACAAAAGGUAACCACUUGAUAUUAAGCUCGGUACUAAGAGCGUGAAUAUGAGAGAGGAAGUACCAAGAGCAGGAACAUAAUAUAAAUAAAUAAAAACUACGUAGCCAUAGCUUCUUAGGCAUACUACUUAGUUGCUUCAUUCGGCUGCCUUCUCGAUCAACUCCAUAGAUGGCACGUCACUUAACCUGAUGCAGGCAAUGUGUUAGAUAUAUUGCAUAGACCAAUUUAUGUGUAGACAAAAAAUGCACUUGCAUUUUUGUACCUUAGCCUUUUAAAGCUUAUAACCAGGGAGUGAUGGUUCCCCUUUUCAAUUUUGAAAGCAAAGACACAUAUGAUACUCUCUGAUCCCUGCCGCUUUGACAGAGCUUGACCAAUUGUUUGUUAUUGUUGGUCUCUUGUCCGUAUCCAGGUGCACUCAUCCAACCCGGUAAUACAACCAUUGAAGCAUUGCAUAUAAAACAUGGCAUUAUCUAUGAACUGACCCACUACUACAAUGCCUCUCAAUUAUGAUGUGGACUUAAUCAAAGUGGUGCUACUUGCCCAACCCCAACUCCCACAGAAUCCCGUUUUUCCUAACCCGGUAAUAGAAAAAAAUAGGUAUCUCAGGAUGGAAAUGUAGGGACUAUCUCAGGAUAGAAAUGUAUCAAGGAAUUAAUCAACUAAGUUCAAUGAUCAAACCUUUGAUAUAAAUAUUUCAAUUAACAUCUGAUAUUACUCAAUAUAUCUCAGGAUGGAAAUAUAUCUGAGUAGGUGAUGGUAGAUACUCACAGUAGUAAUCACCCCAUAAAAUAUAUCUAAAAAGAUGACCCUAUAUAUGCAUGCCAUCGACGCAUUUGUUAUAAAAUAUGACGUGAAAUACCUCGCUUUGGUAUGAUAGAAACCAAAAGAUAAAUAUCAUGCAUUUAUUUGUUUGGCCAGACCUUUUGCCCAAAGAAACUGAAUCUCUCAUCACAACAAAGUUCAAGUAAACUGCAAAUUUGCACUACGAUGGGCGAGUGGAUAAGAGACAGAGAACUAUAGCAGCACAAUAAGCCUCUGAAGCAAAGAAGAAGGCUCAGUGAUGACAUCGACAGCCUUGUCAUACAACGACAAAAAUGGCUUGAGCUGUUCAAAAAAAUGAUGAAAUCAAAAUGGGGGAGUAAUUUCUUUAGGCAAACACUGAAUCAAAAUCUUAGUGGUUGGUUUACCGACAACCAGUAUAUGAGGUAUGUUUACUAUUUAUGGGACUUGUCCAUUUAAGCCUUAAUAUCCCAAUUACGGAUAUUUUGGUAAUUUAUAUGACGCACUGUAAAAAUAUUAAGCACUCACAAUUGAUUAUUUCCUAAUUGGUCACCUAAACACCCUUUAAUAUACUGUGACAAGUAAUGUUAUAAGUCAUCAAGCUCUUUAUGAUAUUUUCUACUUCAGAUUCCAAGUCGCAUUAAAUGAGUGCACAAAAGAGAAUAUAAAAAUAAAAAGGCUCAAGGUACUUCUGACAGAACUCAUCUCAGUGUUAUUUUGGUAUAUAGCUUAAGCCCUGGAUCAACUAAGCUAGCAUGGUAGAUUUUUCUUCUUAAUGAAAGCACAUAUAUGUAAGAGCAUGCAGAAAGGGUCAAAGAGCUAGAAUCCUAUAAAAUACAGAAUCCAUCUUUCGACACAGGGAACAAUUAUAUUUAUAUUUGAUACAGAACAUGCACUUGUGAAUUGGCAGGUAAUAUGAAGGUCAUGUAUGGGAAUUUUACCUUCGCUUUCAGUGACACAUAUCAGAUCAUCUUCCCCUCGACCCUUUCAUGAUGUGGUUGCUGCCGGUGCUCUAGGAAGAACAAAGUUGUUUUAAUAGUAAUUUUGGAAAACACAUGGUGAUUGGGAAAAGCAAAGUUUAAAUCACAUAACAGAUCAAGUUCAAUUAAU
Non-coding RNA from Aegilops tauschii subsp. strangulata, 3045 nucleotides. NCBI's taxonomy places the organism in Eukaryota, Viridiplantae, Streptophyta, Magnoliopsida, Poales, Poaceae. The record is from RefSeq and is a predicted model, not a curated record.